Molecule: ribosomal RNA, 253 nt
Filed under: uncultured bacterium
Lineage: Bacteria
Description: partial 16S ribosomal RNA
Rfam family: Bacterial small subunit ribosomal RNA
Source: RNAcentral
UACGUAGGGGGCGAGCGUUGUCCGGAAUCAUUGGGCGUAAAGCGCGUGUAGGCGGCCCGGUAAGUCCGCUGUGAAAGUCCAGGGCUCAACCCUGGGAUGCCGGUGGAUACUGUCGGGCUCGAGUCCGGAAGAGGCGAGUGGAAUUCCUGGUGUAGCGGUGAAAUGCGCAGAUAUCAGGAGGAACACCAAUAGCGAAGGCAGCUCGCUGGGACGUUACUGACACUGAGAUGCGAAAGCGUGGGGAGCAAACAGG